RNAcentral lists this unclassified non-coding RNA (903 nucleotides) under Hevea brasiliensis (rubber tree). The record is from RNAcentral. Lineage: Eukaryota; Viridiplantae; Streptophyta; Magnoliopsida; Malpighiales; Euphorbiaceae.
GCCACAUUGGCCGAAAUUAGUUCGUCAAAUCAAGAAGAGGAACAGGAGAAUAAUAAAGAACAAGCCACAUUGGCCAAAAUUAUUUCAUCGAAUCAAGAAGAGAACAACAGUUUCAGUCUUCAAAAUCUCGGAGAAGAUUGCUGCAAUGAGUGUAGCUGGUCAAACAACUCCAAUGAUCAUGCAAGUAGCGGCCUUGCGUCGGGCAGGAGGAUUGAGAUUUGCAUGGGGGGCAGGUGCAAGAAGUUGGGAGCACUUGCAUUGUUGGAAGAAUUUGAGAGGAAGGUAGGAACGGAGGGUGCCGUAGUGGGGUGCAAGUGCAUGGGGAAAUGCAAGAACGGUCCUAAUGUGAGGAUUCAAAACGAGAGUGCAAAAGGUUCUGUGGAACCUCCAAUCAAUCCUCUAUCACUGUGCAGUAGAGUAGAACUGGAAGACGUAGAUGAGAUUGUUAGAAAUUUUCUGGGCAAAGACAGGAACGAUAAUUGUCUAAUGGCAUCCUCUUGAAGAGACCUGUUUAUUUUCUGAACAUUUCGCUAACUGUGAGGAUUAAACAUUCGUUUUCUUAGGGUGAUUUCAUAUGUUACCAGAGAAAUUUCAUACAUUUCAACAUUACUUUAGUUUUGCUGGAGAGACUAACAGUUUGAUGAGUUGGGCUUCGUGAGUCGAGUCUUUUUGCAGUAUUAGAGUUCAUCAGGAGGGUCGACGGUGACACCAAAUAUGGAUAGUAAGAUCUUGAUGUUGCGGUUUAAAAGUUUAUUCUUCAUAAUUUUCAUUUGAUGUGAAGACAUGAAGUAAAUAGAUGAUAUAUCAAAAUAAAACCUACUUAGGCAGCUAGUCUCCAUCAGUAAUGUCUAUUACUCGCAUAUCAAAGAAAAGUAAAAAAUUCCCACUACAGUGUCUGUUACU